UCACACCACAGCAAUGCAGCUUCUGGAAACCCAUUGUGACAGUGCAGGGGGCCUGGAACGUUCCUGUGACUGGCUCUGGUGGGUGAGGCCUGCUGAGGCAUGUAGGUGACCAAGCAGUGCCCCCAAGGUCAGCUAAAGGGAUGGCUUUUAUCAUCCGCUGGUGAAAACUGAUGAACUGGUACUGAAUGUGACUGCGGUACCUCCUGGAAGACCAAGCGUCUCUAACCUGCUCCCGGGUCAGCAGCUCCCGGGCCUUGGAGGCUGCCUCUGAGUGCUCAGCAGGCUCACCCACGGACUUCCUGCUCUCUCAUGCCACCACGCCUUAGUCAAAGACUUUUACAUGCUUCCCUGCUCCUGCUAUUGAACGUGGCUUGGGACUGCUAUGGAGCUCACUCUGGCCCAUUUUUCACCAUCAUGUAACUGACUCAGCCUUUCAAUUUCCACUCCAAAUUCCUCUGCCUGGUGGAUUUCUGUCUCUGUAAUAACUAAAUGUGGCUGGCCAGACUUGGGAGUGGUGGGACAGAAUCAUAAAGAACCCUAGACUGUUCCUCCUAGAGGUGUGGGUAAAGCAGAUUCUCGAAGGAAGGAGAUGUUUGCAAAAUCCGUGGACCUGAGUUAUAAUGACGUGUGCUGCUAAUAGAUGGUAUCAUUUAGCAUGCAAAGUAGUACACUUCCCUAAAUUUCAGUGCUUAUUUCACUCGAUGUGCCAAUCAGCUGCCUCAUUUGGGCUCCUGAAGAACCAGAAUUUUCAGCUCCGCUGGCCUGGAUUCCUUGUCUCGUCAGCACAAUCCUCUGCUGCUCCAGAGUUUGGCUAUUGCGGGAACUCAGCUUCUGUUCAUCUUUCCUGCCCCUGCUCUCAUCAAGCCUGACUUUGUCAUUCAAGUGGAAGAUUUGACUGGCCAGCCAAUUCCAACCUACUAGUGUCCUCCAGCUGUCUAUGGGUGGGACCACUGUCUACAAAGUGACCACAUGCCAGAGCUUAUAGACUGGGGUCCCACCUUUGUCCAGGGAAUGUGGCCCAGCCAACUGUUUUGGGAUGUUUGUGACAACUGUGCAAAUUAUGGCCACUUUUUCCAUAAGAAAUUGUACAUGUGGCCAACACUCAGAGCGUUAUAUCUCUUAAACAGGUUUAGUAGUUCAGUGUUAAAUUAUUUUCUAAUUUUGUAAAAUUGGUAGUGAAUCUUAUAUGUAAACUCUAUUAACUUGAAUUUUAUGUCAGAACACUACCUAUCAUGGGUGUCAGUGGAUACUUAAUAAUUGCUAACUUUAUUAAGUACUUACCAUUGCAAAUAUAUCUCCUUUAAAUUUAACAAGUACUCUGUGAGUAAGAUACUUUUAUCCCCAUUUCACGGGUAAAGAAACUAAGGCUCAGGGAGGUUUAUCAACUUGCCUAAAGUCACAUGAUUAAGUCGUUCAACCAGAAUGUGAACCUAAGUUGGUGAGGUCUCAAAGCCAAGCUCAAGCAUGGACAAUGUAGAGUCUGGGCUGUUAAACCAUCAAUUGUCCCUAAGUAGGAAACAUAUCAGGGUUUUAUGUAAGUUUUAACUUCUUCACAUUUCAGAAUGAGUUUGGAUGUUUUGCAAGUGAAAUCAAGAGUAGCGAGGCUGAAGGAGCCCAUCCUGAACUUGAGCAUUGUCAAUAUUCCUGCUCAUUGCACUGUGAAAGUUUUUCCCCUACCCUUCAUAUUUCUAUUCUCAAAUAUUAGGAAAUGACCCAGAACGCCUCAUCACUGAAAAAGAAUGUGCACCGUGCUGUGACAGAGCUUCCUGCUACGGGGCUUUCAAGAGAGAGUUAACUCAGUGGUGAAGCAAACUUGCCCUUGUGUAAAUAGCUUUUCUGAGGACAGCAUGCUGCGCAAGUGUUACUGUUGCCUUUAUAAAUACAUACAAAAUCAUUGGGAUAAUGAACCUAAAUUUGCUAAACUUAAAGUUUUUUUGCAGAAGAAAAAAUAA
Molecule: long non-coding RNA, 1952 nt
Organism: Equus asinus (donkey)
Lineage: Eukaryota; Metazoa; Chordata; Mammalia; Perissodactyla; Equidae
Source: Ensembl